This 442-nucleotide ribosomal RNA is filed under the name uncultured prokaryote. RNAcentral describes it as "bacterial SSU rRNA". It matches the Rfam family "Bacterial small subunit ribosomal RNA", at positions 355 to 796 of the family's 1533-position model. The record is from RNAcentral.
UCGAGAAUCUUCGGCAAUGGACGAAAGUCUGACCGAGCGAUGCCGCGUGCGGGAUGAAGGCCCUCGGGUUGUAAACCGCUGUCAGUUGGGAGGAAGGCUUCGUGAAGAGCGAAGCUUGACCUAUCUUCAGAGGAAGUACGGGCUAAGUUCGUGCCAGCAGCCGCGGUAACACGAACCGUACGAACGUUAUUCGGAAUUAUUGGGCUUAAAGGGUGCGUAGGCGGCUUUGUAGGUGGGGUGUGAAAGCCCUCGGCUCAACCGAGGAAUUGCGCCCCAAACCACAAGGCUCGAGGGAGACAGAGGUAAGCGGAACUGAUGGUGGAGCGGUGAAAUGCGUUGAUAUCAUCAGGAACACCGGUGGCGAAAGCGGCUUACUGGGUCUCUUCUGACGCUGAGGCACGAAAGCUAGGGUAGCGAACGGGAUUAGAUACCCCCGUAGUCC